This 401-nucleotide ribosomal RNA is filed under the name uncultured bacterium. RNAcentral describes it as "partial 16S ribosomal RNA". It matches the Rfam family "Bacterial small subunit ribosomal RNA", at positions 29 to 526 of the family's 1533-position model. The record is from RNAcentral.
AUUGAACGCUGGCGGCAGGCCUAACACAUGCAAGUCGAGCGAGCGGCGGACGGGUGAGUAAUGUAUGGGGACUGCCCGAUAGAGGGGGAUAACUACUGGAAACGGUGGCUAAUACCGCAUACUAUCGGAUAACCCAUAUGGGAUUAGCUAGUAGGUGGGGUAAAGGCUCACCUAGGCGACGAUCUCUAGCUGGUCUGAGAGGAUGAUCAGGAACAGUGAGACUGAGACACGGCCCAGAGUCCGACGGGGGGAGCAGAUGGGAAUAUGGGACAAUGGGCGAAAGACUGAUGCAGCGAGGCCGCGUGGGGGAUGAGGGCUUUCGAGUUGUAAACCUCUUGCGCUAGCGAGGGUAGGUGGAGAAGAAGCGCCGGCUAACUACGUGCCAGCAGCCGCGGUAAUUC